This 240-nucleotide unclassified non-coding RNA is filed under the name soil metagenome. RNAcentral describes it as "partial contains 5.8S ribosomal RNA, internal transcribed spacer 2, and large subunit ribosomal RNA". The record is from RNAcentral.
AAGACUAUAGACCUGCGGAGUACCUGCGGAGGGAUCAUUACCAGUAGGAUUGCGAGACGCGCGAGGGGGGUAGGGCAACCUAACUCACCCGACCAGUCGGACCCGUGCCCACAUACUGCGGGGAGCCUUGCGGCUCUCUCGAGGGGGGCGCGGCGGCUCGUCCGCCCGCCUGUAGACGGGGCCUUCCCUUUAGGUGGGGCUUCCCUCCGCCGUUCUUGCCUUCCACAACCUUCACCCUUG